This 3244-nucleotide unclassified non-coding RNA is filed under the name Portunus trituberculatus (swimming crab). RNAcentral describes it as "transmembrane protein 268-like, transcript variant X5". The record is from RNAcentral. Lineage: Eukaryota; Metazoa; Arthropoda; Malacostraca; Decapoda; Portunidae.
UCAGUAGUCAGUACACCCCGGACAGCGUGCCGGGAGGAAGUAGUGUGGUGGCUGGCAUAGCUAGAACCUCCCUUACUCACCUUGGCUAACCCGCUCUGUUCGCUACAUUUUCAGCGUUUGUACCCUUACCUCGAGCGCUUUAUAUAAUUACACGUAAAUUAAAUUGUAGUGAAUUGUGAUGUGUAAUUUACCGUAAGAAUUCCCACGCGCUGAUUUUGUGUUAAGUUUAUUGGUAUGUUAUGAAGUGAGGUGGAGGGAAGGUACUACUAAGCUUCUCAGCCGUCCCCUCCCCCCACCCCCCACCGCAUCAACCAAGUCCAGCAGCGAUAACUCGAGGAAAUACUAAACAGAAAUGAAUGACAAGGAGCAAGAAGGCAUAGGGAGAGGCAAUGGUGGGGCUGGAACCAAAUCUUGGGUCCAGUUUGAAGAGGAUGAAGGAGUAGAGGGUCAGAAGGAUGGAAAGCUCACACAAAGCCCGCCAAACACUCCUGCUGUCAUUGAUGCUCAUGCAGUGCAGGUUAGUCUGGAAAACCACAAUGGAGCACCUGAAAACCACAGAAACAGUAUAACAAAGACUAUUUCUGAGCCACCCAAUGGGGUACCAAGACUGCAGGCACCACCCAGUGGAGGAGCAACAGAUAAACGGGAGACACGGGUCACCAUGUCCCAGCUCAGUCCUUCACAGCUCCAUAAUGUUCCUUUAAAUGAUGCAUCUGCAGCUUCUGCACAGACCCACCAUCCACCUGCCACUACCCAGCCAGUAGUGAGACAAGGAUUUUCCAAUGGUGAUGUGAUUGUGACACUGCUGCCUCAGAAUACGUCAAUGCCCUGGAUUACUCCGGCCCAGUUCCGUCCAGAACUUGUACCUGAGGAGCUCAUGGCACAAGGUCUGACGCUGACAGUGGAGGACUAUGUGCAUAUCAUGUCCCAGUUGGUGAAUGACUACCGCUUCACCCUGUACAACGUGUGCUACAAGCGAGUCCUCAUGGCCUGGAUCAUAAUGGGUUUUGUGAUUCUGCUGUCCAUCCUCUUCUCAGGCCUCUCCCAGUUGGCACUCUUUGGUGCUGGCAUUGGAUGGCUCAUGAUUAAUGCAGCUGCUAUAUUCUUCUGUAUGUGGAUCAAAAUUAGGCUGAACAAGUCCUUGGAACAGUGUUUGGCAGAAAUCAAUAUACAGUUACUUCGCCACAAGAUCAUUCUGGGCUUGGAUGACCGAGGGAAGCUGUCUUGUCACAAAGUCAACCUCUGCUUCAUCUAUUUUGACACUCAUGACUGUGUGGCAAAACUCCAAGAGGUAAUGGAAGAGGAGGAGCGAGCAGGCCGAGCAGUGAACAGUGAAGAGGCUGCCAAACUGCCCUCACUUCGGCAGCGCAUGGACAUUGAUGACUCAGACAUUAUCAUCACUGGUGCCACAAACACUCGCAUCUCACGGCAACAGGAACGUGCCAAACUGUUGCUGACCCGUUAUAGCCAGCGCUGGGCCAAGGACUUCCUGCGCAAGCGGCUAGACUGGGCCUUUGACGCCACUGCACGCAUGGAGGGUUUGGCCCCCCCAGUGUCACCCCGCCAUCUAACCACUGCCCGCUGCCCUUGCCAGUAUAUUGAAGAGCACCUGAAUGUUAAGCUCUCCCGCCACCACCGCCAAUCCUCUACCACACAUUGUGGUUGCCUUUCACGCUUUUGUCAGGAUGCUGACCUGUGACCAUCCACUGCCCCCUUAAUAGUCUCAUCAUUCCCUUCCCAUAACACACACACACACACACACACACACACACACACACACACACACACACACACACACACACACACACACACACACGUGGCAGGAUGUCAAUCUCGCUAGGAAAUAGAGGAGCAUAAAGGUUGAGACAGUUUUUUUUAGGUUGUGGAGAGGAAGGAAGGAAGGAAGGGAUGGAUGGAAGGAGGGAGGGAGAGAAGGAUAUAGACAGGCAGGAUGACAAUAAACUGAUUCAACACGUGCUUGUUAAAGAAGAGUAUACUGAAUAUGUAAUAAACAAAAAGCGAAGAAAAAAUACAUUGAUUGAUGAAUUGAUAAUAGUCAGCUGUGUGUGUGUGUGUGUGUGUGUGUGUGUGUGUGUGUGUGUGUGUGUGUGUGUGUGUGUGUGUGUGUGUGUGUGUUAUUAGGCAGACGGAUGGCAUGUCUAUCCUUAAAGAUUGACAGAUGCAAUUAGUCACACAGGUACAGCAGGUGAUGAGUAUUUAGACAGCAAGCAGGUCUCCAUUUAUCAGACGGACAUAACAGCAGCAACAACAGCAACAGCGAUAGUAAUGAUGAUUCUGAUACCAAUAAUGAGUGUUUUGAUAAUAAUAAGAAUAACAAUAACAAAAAAAUCACAACUGAAAACAGCAACAACAACAACAACAACAGCAACGUCCCCUUGAAAAUCAAAAAGUUAAUGAAAUCAUAAAUAGAGCGGAAGUGAGAAGGUUUGUUUCAGGCUGUGGGAAGUAACACCUGUGCCGCGAUGGAGUAACACAGAGGCGACACCUGUCUACUCCCCUCGCAGCCCAGCCAGACUCACACCUUAUCGUGGAGGUGCGAGGAGGGCGGUAUCGAAGUCUAUAGAUAGGAGUGCGUCUUGCGAGUUACGUAUAUUCAUUGGAGAUAAGAAACAAGUGAGGAGAAAGAGACCUGAUAGUAGUAUUGUCGUGUAAACAUCCGUGGUGAGUGUUAGCGUUGUGCAGUGUGGAUAUAUCAGUGGUGGUGCCUUCCGAUGGUGAUUUUAUAUGCCAGUGACGAGGCUGUGGUGGUGGUGCAGGUGUGGCCGGAGUGGCGUCGAGGUCAGGGGCGGGAGGAGGGGUCUUUCCCACCAGCCGCGUAGUUAUGAAGCCUUGGCUGUGACCGGCGCGAGGAGUGAGAUGAGCAGAAGGAUCAAUCGAAGGAGAGAGGAAGGAAGUAAAGAAGGAACAUCAUAUUUUCAAGGCCGCCAACCAAUGCACGGUGACGCAACCAACACGUCAUGGAGUGAGGAGAGGCGUGGCCAGUGUUCCAUUACCACCAAUGUCGCCAUCGUUUACGUGACGCGUAUGCUUGUAGGUGCGGGUGACACGCUAACCUUUUCAUGUUGUAGGUGGCGUCGAACCUCAUGAAAGAUGUGUACAGGUGACAUUUUCCCAGUUGUUGUUUCUGUUGUGAUGAUGUCAUGAACCCAGCGUGACGGUGACGCCAUGAGCUCUCCCAGGCCGACUUUCAAAAUAUAUAUCAAUGACGUUGAACUGCUGGACG